AAAAUUUGCGGAAGUGGCGAAAUUGGUAGACGCACCAGAUUUAGGUUCUGGCGCCGCGAGGCGUAAGAGUUCAAGUCUCUUCUUC
RNAcentral lists this transfer RNA (85 nucleotides) under Vibrio cholerae O395. RNAcentral describes it as "tRNA-Leu". It matches the Rfam family "tRNA". Rfam says of the family: Transfer RNA (tRNA) molecules are approximately 80 nucleotides in length. Lineage: Bacteria; Pseudomonadati; Pseudomonadota; Gammaproteobacteria; Vibrionales; Vibrionaceae. The record is from RNAcentral.